GUCGUCUCACUCGCCACCCUCCUCCCAGUUCCCUGCGUGUGGGUUCUGCUUUCGCCGCUAAAGCAGAAGCUGAGAUGGCAUCUGAUGAGGUGACCGGCGGUGGAUACUGAGGCGGCAUGAUGAGCAGCAGAGGGGAACUACAGACUGGAGACAUGAAAUCCGCUUUUCUAGGACGUGCCCCCUCAGUUCUAGCACUGCCUCAGGGGAGCAGCCAGACCAUACGUGGUGCGCAAAGUCAGAAGAACUCUGAGCUAAUCGGGAAAGAAGGGAUGAGGCCAGAGAUCAGGCCACCCAGCCUGGACUCUCCUCCUGGCUGCUCCCUCGCCACGUGCGGUAGGACGCCUCCCAUUCUCGGGGGACAUCUGGUUCAUCGCCACCAAGAUGCUCCCCACGCCCUUGGCUUCGUCUCCCGGUGGAGGCUUACCAUUGAUUUGCUUGCUUGCUUAGUUUUUAAAAACGUUUUAUGGUGGACUAUAUUAAAUAUGCAAAGUGGGGCAAAAAUAGUUAUUUACAGAUAAAAACAAUAAAAUGAGGGGCCGGCCCAGUGGCAUAAUAGUUAAGUUCGUGCACUCUGCUUUGGUGGCCCAGGGUUUGCAGGUUCGGAUCCCAGGCACAGACCUACACACCGCUUGUCAGGCCAUGCUGUGGCGGCGUCCCAUAUAAAGUAGAGGAAGACAGGCAUGGAUGGUAGCCCAGGGCCAGUCUUCCUCAGCAAAAAGAGGAGGAUUGGCAACAGAUGUUAGCUCAGGGCUAAUCUUCCUCACCAAAAAAAAAUAAUAAUAAUAAUAACAAUAAUAAAAUGAACACACAAAAACCUUCCAUUCAGGUAAAAAUCCAGAACUUGACUGGUACCUUAGGAGUCCCUGAAAUCACCAUCAGGCUGAUGAUUGUGUAAAUCAUCCUCUCACUAUAUGCAUGAAACUUUCUUUCAUUAUAUAUAUAUAGUAUAUGUAUAUGUGUUAUCUCUAUAUAGUAUUUUA
This is a long non-coding RNA of Diceros bicornis minor, 980 nucleotides long. RefSeq lists it as uncharacterized. The transcript has 3 exons. The record is from RefSeq and is a predicted model, not a curated record. NCBI's taxonomy places the organism in Eukaryota, Metazoa, Chordata, Mammalia, Perissodactyla, Rhinocerotidae.